UACGUAGGGUGCGAGCGUUGUCCGGAAUUAUUGGGCGUAAAGAGCUCGUAGGCGGUUUGUCGCGUCGGCUGUGAAAACUGGAGGCUUAACCUUCAGCUUGCAGUCGAUACGGGCAGACUUGAGUUCGGUAGGGGAGACUGGAAUUCCUGGUGUAGCGGUGAAAUGCGCAGAUAUCAGGAGGAACACCGGUGGCGAAGGCGGGUCUCUGGGCCGUAACUGACGCUGAGGAGCGAAAGCGUGGGGAGCGAACAGG
RNAcentral lists this ribosomal RNA (253 nucleotides) under uncultured bacterium. RNAcentral describes it as "partial 16S ribosomal RNA". It matches the Rfam family "Bacterial small subunit ribosomal RNA", at positions 524 to 776 of the family's 1533-position model. The record is from RNAcentral.